Molecule: long non-coding RNA, 12523 nt
Filed under: Ananas comosus (pineapple)
Lineage: Eukaryota; Viridiplantae; Streptophyta; Magnoliopsida; Poales; Bromeliaceae
Description: long non-coding RNA (ACOM_LNC017335)
Source: RNAcentral
AAGGAAAGGACGGCAUCAUGACAAUUUUGAGAUUAAGCUACGACCACUUACCCACAAACUUACAACUCUGCUUUAGAUAUUGUAGUAUAUUUCCACAAGAUUAUAUCUUUAAGAGGAAAGAGUUGGUCUAUAUGUGGAUGGGUUCAGGUCUAAUUCCGCAGUCUAUUUGUGGAAGACGAAGGCGGGAGGACAUUGGAAGGGAGUAUUUAAAUCUUCUGACAAGAAAAUCAUUCUUUACUUGCAAAACCAGUGAUUAUAGGUUUAAAAUUUCUAAACAUUAUUUUAUGCACAAUCUGCUACAUGUCCUUGCACAAUCUGUUUCUCUAGGGGAAUGCAUCAGAAUAGGAGGUGAUGUUGCAGGAUAUAUUAUUCCAAAAACGGUUCGACAUUUAUUUUUUGAAAACAUAAAUCUUCUUUCUAUCAGAGAGAUCUCCAAUCUUAAGAACUUGCGUACUCUUGUCAUAUCUGUUAAAGAGAAUCAUGGGCAUAAUGCAAAUCAUUUACUUGUGUUUAAUGAGGUUGUGGAAGGAUUUAAAAAGUUAUACUUAUUGAGCUUAGAUGUGAAUUUUGACACUUAUAAACUGCCCUAUGCACUUAAUAGCUUGAUACACCUCCGCUACCUAUCUCUUUCGGAAAGAGUGGUAAUAGAUGAAAGUUUCAUGGGCUUCAUUCGUUCAUCUCUUUGUAGGCUUUAUCACCUACAAUUCCUGAAGUUCUUUACUCAUGGAACGACUACUGAUAUUAUUGAAUACCCCGGUUUGACUAGCUUGGUUAACUUGCAUUUAUUAGAUGUUCCUUCUGAUGUGAUAAAAAAUAUUCCUUAUGUUAGCAAAGUACCCUUCAUUUGCAAAUUAAAAGAUUUUUUUGUCCAAGAGAAGAGUGGUUACAAAAUCGGCGAACUAAAGAACCUGAGAGACCUUCGUCAUUUGUGCAUUAGAGAACUUGAAAAUGUGAGGAGUUCUGAAGAAGCUAGGGAGGCCAAGUUGAACAAGAAAGAAUAUCUCAAAUCAUUGUCAUUGCAAUGGUCUAGAGACUGCUCUAGUGGUGCAGAGGCCGAUGAGCAGCUCCUUGAUAACCUCUACCCGCAUAUCAAUCUAAAGAGAUUGUGUAUUAAAGAAUACAAAGGUGUUAAAUCGCCGUGUUGGAUGACAGAUACGUCUCUCAUGAACUUGACAUUUAUCGAACUGAUUAAUUGUAAAGGAUGGGAUCAUCUCCCGCCUCUUGGGCACCUAUCUUCCCUCAAUUGUCUUUACCUGUGUGGACUGCAUGCAGUAAAGCAAAUAGGUUGUUCAUUCUACGGGAGAAGCGGUGUAUGUGCCUUUCCAUCAUUAAAGCAGCUAUUCUUACUGGACAUGCCAAACUUGGAGGAGUGGAUUGGAAUAGAUGAUGAGUGCAUGUUUCCUCAACUCCAUUCUUUGGAAAUCCGUCAAUGCCCUAGCUUGAGGGGCGUGCCUGCUCUGCCUCUUGGUCUAAAUAAAUUGCAUAUUUCUGAUGUCGGAUUGACUGCUCUUCCAGUGAUAAAUCAAGAUUGCGGAAACAACAAUGUAAGUGCUCUGUUUUAUAAACUUUAAAUUACCUCACUGAAGUUAAGCUUGUUUUCACUUUGGCCUCCUGUAGUUCAAAAAGUUUCACUUUGCCCCCCCUGUGAUUUAGCUUAUUUUCACUUUGCUAUUCCAUUGUUCAAAAAGCUGCACUUUGCCCUCCUAUAAUUUAGCACAUUUCUCACUUUGCCAUCCUAUGGUUUUUUGAUCAUUUUUAAUUUGCUACACUAUUUCAUACAGAGUUUUUAGCGAAAUAAAAAUUUAACCACAUGAGUGCAAAGUGAAACUUUUAAAACCAUAGGAUGGCAAGGUGAAAAUUAAUGAGGUAAACUACACAAGGGUAAUUUGAAGUUUACCUUUAGAUUAAAACACUAGUUCAUAUUUGUCUAGCUGUGAUUGCCCAGACUUAAUAUCUUUCACAUAUUUUCAGCAAGAACAUUUUCAAGCUCUUGAAAGCUUAAUUAUAGAACAAUGUGAGAAGCUCGAAUAUGUUCCACCAGAGUUUUUUGGAAAGUUCAAAGCCAUAAAAUUCCUGCGUAUAGAAAAUUGUCCAAAGUUGACAAAAUGUGGGAUCUCAGACAUCCAACUGCCGUCCGUACUCAUUAUGCUCACUAUUGGGUCAUGCGGCAACCUUGAGGCGCCAUUGCUGUGGUCAGCAGAUUUAAGCUCUCUUACAUGGUUGGAAUUACUCGAUUGUGCAAGCAUAGCAUCCCUUCCCCCAGCACAAGUGUGUGCACAGUGGACAUUGCUUACACAUUUAAAAAUAAAGAACUGCAAAGAAUUGUCAUCAUUUGGUGGAUUACAAGCCCUUAUAUCCCUCUGGCAUUUAGAAAUUGAAGGGUGUGACAAGCUAACUGAAGUUGCCCUGCUGCAGCCUCCAUUUCCAAACAAUGUCGGCCAAAAGAAUGAAGUGGACUGCCUUUUGAAGCUUGGUUAUCUAUCAGUUGACCACCACGCGCUCCUGCUCAUGGAGCCACUGAGAAGUCUCUCCUCCAUUAGCUGGUUGAUUAUCUCUGAUGCUUCGCAGCUCAUCACCUUACCAGAGGAAUGGCUACUGCAAAAUCACGCUGCCCUCAAAUUUUUGAGCAUAACGAAUGCAGCCUCCCUUCAGUCCCUACCCCAGAGCAUGACAGAACUAUGCUGCCUAGCGAGUUUCGGUGUAACUAAUGCUAAUCUCAUCCAGUCACUUCCAGAUCUCCCUAAUUCACUACGCACUCUCUGCAUCACCGGGUGUCACCCUGUGUUGAAGGAGCGAUGCGAAGAGAAUAUAGGCCUUGAUUGGCCCAAGAUAGCCAACAUCCCUAAUGUGAGGAUUUAUUAGCAUUUGCAGAGGUAGAGGUGAUGAUGAUGCAUAUUGUACGUCCGCUUUACCACCCUUCAUCUCUCCCACGCUACCCUCUGUAAUUAACACAAUUCACUUUGGUCGUAAUGAGCUACAUCUCAUUCGAUCUUAACGAGGUUAUUUCAUUUGUUUCACUAUUAUUUUAGCUUGUUUUGGGUAAUGCAAGAACAGUCUGGUUCGUUUUUAAUUAGUAUCCUCAAAAGAAUUUGUACUCUUAACUUUAUGAUUUGGAUACAUAGUAAGGGAAUAAAGCGCUACUUGCCCCCUAUAAUAAAUACAUUGUGUUGUGCUCGCAGGACGGAUUGGUCUUUGUAAAACAAACAAUGAUUUGGAUACAAUUAAAGAGAGAGAGAGAGAGAGAGAGAGAGUAACCCUAAACAAGUCUCCAGAAUUAAGUUCUCUACUAAUAUUUUAUGAUUUUUUUUCUUCCUCCCUUUACUUUACCUGAAUUGACUUCGCCUCAUAGGAAAGCAAAAUUAAUUUCAGUAUUUUGGAAAAACUAUACUUUCGAUCUUACUAAUAUUAUGGUGAACCAAACAGCAGAAAUGAUUAAUUUUCAUCGAAAAUUACUUGCUCUCUUCCCAUUUAUGGUGAAACAAUCAGACCCUUACAGCAGUCAGUAUUAUAUAGGUUUGUUUGUAUCAAAGCUUCGAGACAGGUGUACUAACAAGAAAGAUGUUAGAUACGAUAACUAAGGAGAAUUUUGGCGACAAGAGUUUCAACGUAGUUAGUUAAUUUGGAUUCAGCAAACAUUCAGUACGAAUGCAAUACGAAUAAAAUUCAUAUAUUGAUUUUUAAAUUCGUUCAAAAAUAGGGCUUAAAAAAGGGUUCCGAUUUAAAUUAUUCAGGUUAAAAUGUCAGCUAUUAAAUUAAAAAAAUUUUUCCUAGAUUUAUGCUACCAGCGUAAAUAGCUAUAAUUCUUAAGAAUAUAAAAUAGAGAGGUACAAAAUAAAGUAGAUUAAAUAAAAAAAGCAAUAGAAAAGUUCAUUGUCAUCUUCAUCUCCAUCUUUUUUAUGAUCCACAUAUUCUGAAAGUUCAUGAAGUUUUUCAAUAAUACGCAAAUAAUUUGCAAAUAAUUUGCAAAUUAACUAACUAUGGUGAAGAUAGGGAUUUUAUCAAAAAAAUUUGCGUAUUUCUUUGGCCGAAUAGUUCAAUAGACGUGAAUUAUUUGCGAAUAAUAAAUCUAACCAAAAAAUUCAUAUUUUAUUCUGAUUUUUUGAAAAAAUAUUGUAUACGAAUCGAUUUAUUCGAAUUUUCAAUAAUUUGCAAAUAAUUCUCGAAUUAACUAACUAUAAGUUUGAACGCACUGCAUACGAUCCUGAAAGGGCAAACUAAUUGCUCUUAUAAAGUUUUGACGAAGUAGAAAAGUGAAAGAGAAGAGUCUUUACAUCUAACCGGUUUGGAAGAGCAAGCUUUUUUUUUUUUUUAAGAAAGGUAGCAUGUUAACUAUUUCGCUUAUUUUAUUUUUUAGAAAUAAAUUUAGCUGAAAAUGAGAAGCAAUUAGGCUUCGAUCCUGAACCUCGGGUAUCAAUCACCAAGUCUUUGGUCACUUGCGCGAGGGAUGGUCGGAUUUGGAAGAGCAUGACUAUAUAUAUAUACUAGCAACUAACCCGUGCAAUGCACGAAUUUUAAUUUUAUCUUUUAAUUACAUCUUUUAUAUAAUAUAUAAUAUUAAUUUUUACAUAUUAAGUUUUUUUAAUAUCUUUUUAUGACAACUUUUAUAUAAUAUAUAUUAAUUUUUUACAUAUUAAGCUUUUAUUAGAAAUAUUAUUGAAUCAAAUUAAAAUAAUACUAUCAUGAUAUACUAAUAGAAUGUAAGUAAAUAAUUUAAAAUAAAAAGAUUUUAAAAUGAAGAAGUAAAAAGGUUCAAAUCCAUUAGAAAUUUAACAUAAUUAUUAUUUAUAUAUAAUUAAUCUUAUUUCAAAUUCUUUAUGACUAAUUUUGUAAACUUAUUUUUUGAAGAAUUUUAAGUGACUAAAUUUGGAAAGUAAUUUUUUAGAACUUGUGAAGCAUGAUUCAUAUUAUGAUUCCUUUAAACUAAAAAGUUCUUGUUAUUGUGAAUAAUUAGUCAUGUAUGUUUAUCAAUUAUUUUCAACAAAUCAAUCAAAAAUUUAAAUAUAAAUAUCAAACAUACCUCCCAAAAGUAAUUAUUGAGUAUUUCUUGGGAUAGGGGCAAAUAUUUAUGCGCUCUGAAAAUUUCAAUACUAUGAUGAAGUCCAAAGCUAGUGGUAUGUAUCCUGAAAAAAAAGAGAAGAUAAUAUAUACAUUACAAACCGACCAAAUCAUUACACGUAAUUAUUUUCAAAUUUUUAAAAUAAACUUGCCUUUUAUAGAAAGAUGGUGCAUAAAGGUGGAAAAUAAGUCUGCCUCCAUCUAUCAUACAUAUGGAUGAUAACAUUAAUAAAAUAAUGGCAUUCAUUUGUAAUACCUACAUAUGGAUGAUAAAAUUUGUAACGUUUUAGAUAUUCACUGUGAAAGAUGAAUAUGCCUCACAAUCAAAGAAAAAAGGGGAAAAAAAAAUAACUGAUGUGCGGUUAAGAAAAAAAAAUAACUGUUGUGUGGUUUAGGAAAAAAAUAACUGUUGUACGGUUAAGAAAAAAAAGUAACUGUUGUGCAGUUUAGAAAAAAAAAUAACCGUCGUACGGUUAAGGAAAAAAAAACUGCUGUGCAGUUAUUUUUUGGUAUAUGUAGUUAUGCUCUCUUAUCAUAUAUAUAUAUCUAAUAUAUAUAUAUAUAUAUAUAUAUAUAUAUAUAUAUAUAUAUAUAUAUAUAUAUAUAUAUAUAUAUAUAUAUUUUAUCAUUAUGAACCAUAAGAUGCCACGUGACGCACUUACAUGAAAAGUUCUAAUGUGCCACGUGCGCACUUAUCAUAAUAUAUAUUUUUUAACUUAUCAUAAUAUAUUUUUUAGUUCCAAUAUAUUUAUAUAUAUAUAUAUAUAUAUAUAAUAUAUAUAUAUAUUAUAUAUAUAUAAUUAUCAUUAUAUAUAUUUUAUAUAUUAUCAUUAUCAUUAAGUAAUUAUAAUAAUGCAUUUACUAUCAUACAUAAGGUGAAAAAUAGUCUGCCUUCAUCUAUCAUACAUAUGGAUGAUAACUUAAUAAAAUAAUGCAUUCACUUGUAAUACAUACAUCAUGAAUGAUAAAAUUUGUAACGUUUUAGAUAUUAACUGUGAAGAUGAAUAUGCUCACAAUUCAAAGAAAAAGGGAAAAAAAAAUAACUGUUGUGGGUAAGAAAAAAAAAAAACUGUGCGUGGUUUAGGAAAAAAUAACUUUGUGCGGCUUAAGAAAAAAAAUAACCGUUGUGCGCAUUUAGAAAAAAAAUAUAACUGUCGUGACGGUUAAGGAAAAAAAACUACUGUGCAGUUAUUUUUUGGGUACGUGUAGUUAUGCUCUCUUAUAAUUACUUAAUGAUAAUGAUAAUAUAUAAAAUAUAUACAAUGAUAUAUAAUAUAUAUAUACUAUAUAUAUAUAUAUAUAUAUAGAGUGAGGCUACUAUGCUAUCGGAAGCCACGGAGCCUUCGUGCUUCCAGCUUGUUUUCGAUGUUGCGACUUUCGAAUCGUCGAUCGGCUCCUUAAACUUAUCUUAGAUAUUUGAAGAACUAGAAAAUUAAUUAUUAUUUUUCGAUAUCAUUUGCCUAGUGAUCGAAUAGGCUCAAAAUCAACAAAUUUCAAUGGCCGUAGUAGUGAGCGUUUGCAAGUUUAACGGUGUAGAAAUACCCAAAUCACGUGAAAUUUUGAUAAAAAUUCUUUAUACUAUAUAAAACAAGAUCAAUAUCUUGAUUUAAAUUUUAUGCAUAUUAUUACAUUUUGUAAGAUUUUUAUUUUCAGCCGUUGAUUUUGAGCCCCUUCGUUCACUAGGCAAAUGAUAUCGUAAAAUCAUAAAAUUUAUUUUCUAGGUACUUCAAAUACUCUAGAUCAAGUUUAACGAAGCCGAUCGACGAUUCGAAAGUCGCAACAUCGAAAACAAGCUGGAAGCACGGAAGGCUCCGUACUUCCGAUAGCAUAGUAGCCUCACUAUAUAUAUAUAUAUAUAUUUGUGAACUAAAAAAUAUAUUAUGAUAAGUUAAAAAAAUAUAUAUUAUGAUAAAUACGCCAUGUGGCAUCUUAUGGUUCAAUUGGAACCAUGCUUCCAAAAUUAUAUAUAUAUAUAUAUGAUGCUACUUUUUUAGUAAGAAACUAAGAAUGCAUAUUUUUGGUAUGAACCCAAAUUACUAUAAAAAUCUAUACGAAAGCUGUUGAAAAUUUUUGGUUGAAAGCAGCAGAGCAUGCAUAUAUUCAGAUAUUUUUGGCACAAAAAUAACAAAAUAUAUAAAAAUAGCCAAAAAAAAAUUAAAAUAACUUGAUAAAAACUAUCAAUGAGUCUACUAGGAAGAUUCAUUUUCUAUUUUUGCUAUUAUUUAGUCGGUGUCUUUUAACAAAGUUAUUAGAUUUUGUCUAAAAUAAUAGAUUUGUUAAUAAAAAAUAUAGAGAUUGGUGAAGAACAAAAAAAUGUAGCGAUAUUUAUGGGCGAAGAAAUUGCACACGGUAGAAAAACAAAAAUAAAUGUAAAAUAUAGUGUAGAGAUUGAUAGAAUAUAAUAAGAGUAUGAGUUGUAUACUUUCGAGGGUAUAGAGGCAGCUGUGAUUUAAAGUUGUUUUUUAUUAUAAGAUAUCUAAUACGACAAUCGGUUCAGUUAGUCAUAAUAUACACAAUUGAAUCAAUCUAAAAAGAAAUUGGAAAAACUUCAAAUAUAUACCACCCUUUUGGUUUCACACUUUCUCACUUUAGUACCUUGUGGUUUAAAAUGUAUUAAUUUAGUACCCUGUGGUUUCAUUUUUAUAAUUUUAUUAUCGAUUUCACUAAUUUUUUCGUUAAAUCAGUGACAAAGUUAAAACUAAAAGGUACUAAAGUGAGUAUUUAAUAAAACUUAAAUGGGGCAUCUGAAGUUUUCUGUACAUACUUUAACGAAAUAUUAACGAAAAAGCUGACGAAAAGAUAUAAAUGAAACCACAGGACACUAACUAGCUUGAUACACUUUAAACCGCAUGAUACUAAAGUGAGAAAGUGCGAAACCACGGGGGUAGUAUUUGAAGUUUAUCCAAAAAAAUUUAUAAACUUUCAACAUCAUUUCCAAAGUGAUCAGUAGGUCUCAAAGAUGAUUUUAAUGGCUGGUGUGGCACAUUUAUGCGUGCGUGUAGAACAAUCCAGAUUAGAUAAUAUUUUAAUAAAAAAUUCUAUUUUUCAUUAAAAGCAAGAUCAAUAGUUCCAAUUCAAACUUAAUAAGUCUUCUAUUAUUAUUUUUUGUGAGAUUUUUAUUUUCUACCGUUCGUUUCUAGACUGCUUAUUUGUAAGACAAAUAAAGUCAAAAACUGAUAAAAUUUGUUUUCCGAUAGUUAUAAUAUGUAAAUGAUUUUUAACAGAAUUAAUCGCUAAAUCAAAUAUCUCAUUAUAAAAAACAACUUGAAAUAAUGGGAGGCCUUUGUACUUUCAAAAAUAUAUACUAGCCUAGUUCAAUAUAAUAAUACUCUUUGAAAAAAAUUAUUAUAAUAUAAUAAAUAAAAAUAAUACUAAAAUAUAAUACAGUAGAGUGUAAUUAAGCCUGACCUUUAUUACAUGCAAAAGAAUCUGCUUUAUUAAGUGGUGAUCUUUGUCACUUCUUUUCUGCAUGCUCAUAAAGCAAUCCCACUACUAUUUUUUAUUCUUUUUUCUCUGUUUUUUGUUUGGAUAUGAAGGUUUCCAACUGAUUGAUCAAUUGCUUGACUAGUGCUAUGGAAUGAAAUAAGAUAAAAUGAAAAAAAAAAAUAUUGAGAAAAAUUAUUUAGAAUCUCUCAUUGUGCUUUUCCCUACUUCUAGUUUUUUAAAGUGUUUAGCUUUUGUUCUUAACUUAUAAAGAAAGUAAUUAAUUGGAAAAACUUCAAAUACCCCUCGUGGUUUCGCACUUUCUCACUUUAAUAUCUUAUAGUUUAAAGUGUAUCAAGUUAGUACCCUACAGUUUUCCACUUUCUCACUUUAGUAUCUUGUGGUUUAAAAUGUAUUAAGUUAAUUAGUACCCUGUGGUUUCGCACUUUCUCACUUUAGUACCAUGUGGUUUAAUAUUUCAUUAAAUUAUAUACAAAAAAAACUUCAGAUAUCCUACCUAGGUUUAUCGAAUAUUCAUUAUAGUACUCUUUAGUUUUAACUUUGUCACUGAUUUAACGAAAAAAAUACUCCGAAAUGAAUAUUAAAAAGAGAAAUAUAAAAUCACAGAGUACUAACUCGAUACAAAAAUAAAAUCACAGAGUACUAACUUGAUACAUUUUACACCAUAUGGUACUAAAAUGAAAAAGUGCGAAACCACAGGGUACCAACUUAAUACAUUUUAAACCACAGGGUACGUACUAAAGUGAUAAAUUGCGAAAUCACCCGGGGNNNNNNNNNNNNNNNNNNNNNGGGGCGGGCGCGGUUUGUAUUUGAAGUUUUCCCUAAUUAAUUUUCAGGACAGGUUCGGAUCCGGAUACUUUAGUUGCUAAUAUACUAAUCUGAUCCAUGUGAGCAUAGUAGGAUAGUGACUAUGAGACUAUCAGUAUAUUACCCUCUUAAGAUCGGGUAUGGGUCGGGUAUGGGUCAGGCUUAGGUCAGGGACGAGUAUUCGUAUGCAUAUCCAUAGUAUAAAACAUAAAUAGUUGUUACACGAUAAGUUCAAAACAAAAGUACAAAAUCUAUAAUAAUUAUAUUUAUAUUAAUUACUCUAAAACAAGUAUAACCACCACCCAAAACACAUUCAAUAACAUAAGAGUUAAAACUUAUAUUGAUAACUCCAAACACACAUAAUAUAAUUAUAUAAAGCACAUACAACUAACCAUAUAGCAUACAUCAUAAGUCCAAAACGCAUGCACCUACUAUAAUAUAAUUAAAAUACAUACAUAAUAAAUUUGAAAUAUUAUGAUAAUUAAAAAUAACAAUAUCAUUUUUCAAUUUUCAUAAAUUUUCUUAUUUUUUACUCCUUGCUUUAACUUUUGACAUUGGAUAUUUUACUGAGUUAAUUAGAUUCGUGCCCACGACCGAAUUUGAAAAUUAUUCAGAACUCUACCCACCAAAAAAUCAGGUCCGGAUAGGGCUUGAGUCGGAUUUGGAUACAAAAAUCUGGACCCAUAUCUGAAAUAUUAAUGGGUCAUCCUUAAUUUCUACUCAUAUACUACCUAUUUUUAAUCGGAUCUAGGUCGGGUGGGAUAUAGGAAAUCGAUUAUUUUGAACAUCUCUAUAUUGUUGAGAGAAAAGAAGAAGUUUUAAUGAUAUUCAUAAGAAAAAAAAAAUAGUACAACAUAGAAAAACAAAAAUAAAUAUAAAAAUAUAAUAUAAAAAUCGAUAAAAUAUAAUAAUAUUUUUUUAAAAAAAUUAUUACAACAUAACAAAUGAAAAUAGUCUUACUCGUGUUACAUGAAAAAAAUAGUGCAAAAUAGAAAAACAAAAAUAAAUAUAAAAUUAUAAUAUAGAAAUUAAUAAAAUAUAAUAAUAUUUUUUUUCAUUUGAAAAAAAAUAUUACAACAUAACAAGUGAAAAUAACAUCAAAAUAUAGUAUCAUACAAUGUAAUUAAGUCUUACUCGUGUUACACGUACGCAAAAUUAAGAAUCUCCUUUUUUAAUUAAGUGGUGAUCUUUGUCGCUUCUUCUUUUGGAACCGUCUAAAUCAAUCCCACUACUUUCCUUUUUUUUUAAUUCUUUUUUCUCUGUUUUUUGUUUGGAUAUUAAGGUUUUUUCAUUCUUUUUUCUCUGUUUUUUGUUUGUAUGAUUGAAAAAAUAUUUCAGAAAAUAAAUUUUGAGCUGAAAAAAUAAUUUUCGUCUUGUUUAGUUUCUAAAAAAGUAAUAAUAAUUUUCAAAAAAAUUUCAAAAUUUAUCUGAAAAUUGUAUUCUCGUUUUUCAAAUUAUUUAUUUGUUAUUAUAGUUUCUCACCUUUCUUUUCUUGUGGAAUCAAAAUAAAGCGGCCAUAAUCUACUGCAUGCUUUGCCGUGCAGAAGUCUCAAGAUUCUGUUAGAUCAGGUUCCUCCAUGUUGGCUGACAGCUUUCGAGAACUUAUUCCUCGUCUCAAUCUUUCUUCGUUGCGAAGCUGAACGUCUCUUGCCUCAUUCUCCAAUUUCUGCACUAGCUCCAGGAGUUUGAUCAAUUGCCUGAGUGGUGGUGAAGCCGAUCAUGGCUCUAACUUUCAUAGCCGGAGCGGUGGCGACGGCGAUCAUCCAGAAGCUCGUUGAUACAUGCUUUUCCUACAUCAAAGCUUACCCGGGGCUGCGAGGCAUGCGGGACGAGUUGGAAAGGCUGCAACUGGCCCUUCCGCAGAUCCAGACAGUCUUGACUGCCGUAGAGGAGGCUGCGUCGAUUGCAGAGCAGAACACGGCGCUGGAUACGUGGCUGUCGCAGCUCAGAGAUGCUGUGGAGAACGCGGAGGACGUGCUCGACGAGCUGGACUACUACGAGCUGAAGAAGACUAUAAAAGAUCGAGAUGACGAGGUGCGUGGCAUUCUCUCUAAAUGUAAGAAAAAGUUUGACCGUGUUGUUAAUCGUAAAUUUAGCUAUGACACACCGAAGCGGUUGAGGGAGGCCGUCAAGGGGUUAGAUAUGGUUGUUGCCGGUAUGGGACCACUAGUUCAACUUGUUGCUGGGUUAUAUGGUCCUAGUGUUAAGCAUCAGAAGCUCGAGGAAAACAAGAAUGCUCGCGAGACUAGCUUCUUGCUAACCGAAAGUGAGGUGCUCGGACGAGACGAGGAGAGGGACCAAAUAGUUGAAUGGCUGAUCAAACCAGGAGAUGCCGAUGUCAAUGUCUCCACUUUUACAAUUGUUGGUAUGGGCGGGCUCGGGAAGACCACUCUUGCUCAACUAAUCUGUCAUGAUGAAAGAGUGCGAGAGUACUUCAAACCGAUUAUGUGGGUUUGUGUUUCUCAGGAUUUCGAUGUAACUGCGAUAACAAGAAAGAUUUUACAAUGUGUAGAUAGUGAAAAGAAUUUUGGCGACAAGAGUCUACAAGCACUCCAUGUGGAUCUUACACAAGAACUAAAGUCGAAGAGGUUUUUCCUCAUACUGGAUGAUGUUUGGACCGAUGAUAACAUGACGGAGUGGGAGACAUUAGUUGCUCCUUUGAAAUUUGGACAGAGAGGAAGCAAGAUCCUGUUGACAACUCGAAUGGGUUCAAUUGCGGAUAUGGCGGCAAAAGUGACGAAAUGCAAACGGGAAUCAUUAAAUCUAAAUGAGUUGAAGGAGAGUGACUGUAUAUCGCUUUUCAAUAAGCAUGCAUUCCUCGAUGUGAACCUUGGUGAUUAUAGAAACCUGCAGCUGAUCGGUGAGCAGAUAGUGAAGAAACUUGGAGGAAGCCCAUUGGCAAUAAAGAUCAUGGGAGGAAUACUAAACUACUCCAUGAACUAUGAAUAUUGGAAGAACAUCUUGGAAGAAGACAUCAUGAAAUUACAACAAGGAAAGAACGGCAUCAAGACAGUUUUAAGAUUAAGCUACGAUCACUUACCCACAAACUUACAACUCUGCUUUAGAUAUUGCAGUUUAUUUCCACAGGAUUAUACGUUUAAGAGGAAAAAGUUGGUCAAUAUGUGGAUUGGUUCAGGUCUGAUUCCGCAAUCUAUUUGUGGCAAGCAAAGGCCAGAGGAUAUCGGAAAUGAGUAUUUAAAUCUUCUGACAAGAAAAU